This 510-nucleotide ribosomal RNA is filed under the name uncultured bacterium. RNAcentral's name for it is "bacterial SSU rRNA". It matches the Rfam family "Bacterial small subunit ribosomal RNA", at positions 36 to 518 of the family's 1533-position model. The record is from RNAcentral.
CUGGCGGCGUGCCUAAUACAUGCAAGUCGAACGGUCUUUCUAUGGAAGCUUGCUUCCACUGAGAAGAUAGUGGCGAACGGGUGAGUAACACGUGGGUAACCUGCCCAUAAGAGGGGGAUAACAUCCGGAAACGGGUGCUAAUACCGCAUAGUUUUCUUGAUCGCAUGAUCGGGAAAGGAAAGACGGCCUUUGUGCUGUCGCUUAUGGAUGGGCCCGCGGCGUAUUAGUUAGUUGGUGAGGUAACGGCUCACCAAGACGAUGAUACGUAGCCGACCUGAGAGGGUGAUCGGCCACAUUGGGACUGAGACACGGCCCAAACUCCUACGGGAGGCAGCAGUAGGGAAUCUUCCGCAAUGGACGAAAGUCUGACGGAGCAACGCCGCGUGAGUGAAGAAAGGGUUUUCGGAUCGUAAAACUCUGUUGUCAGAGAAGAACAAGUUGGAGAGUAACUGCUCCAGCCUUGACGGUAUCUGACCAGAAAGCCACGGCUAACUACGUGCCAGCAGCCGC